Molecule: ribosomal RNA, 702 nt
Filed under: Salmonella enterica subsp. enterica
Lineage: Bacteria; Pseudomonadati; Pseudomonadota; Gammaproteobacteria; Enterobacterales; Enterobacteriaceae
Description: partial 23S ribosomal RNA
Rfam family: Bacterial large subunit ribosomal RNA
Source: RNAcentral
CUGUUUCGGCUAGGGGGCCAUCCCGGCUUACCAACCCGAUGCAAACUGCGAAUACCGGAGAAUGUUAUCACGGGAGACACACGGCGGGUGCUAACGUCCGUCGUGAAGAGGGAAACAACCCAGACCGCCAGCUAAGGUCCCAAAGUCAUGGUUAAGUGGGAAACGAUGUGGGAAGGCCCAGACAGCCAGGAUGUUGGCUUAGAAGCAGCCAUCAUUUAAAGAAAGCGUAAUAGCUCACUGGUCGAGUCGGCCUGCGCGGAAGAUGUAACGGGGCUAAACCAUGCACCGAAGCUGCGGCAGCGAACGUAUCACCCAAGACAACUUUACGGAGUUGACGAUUGACGGAGCGAAGCGACGUCAAAGCGUUCAUUAAAGUCGAGUUGGCUUAGGGAUACGUUCGUUGGGUAGGGGAGCGUUCUGUAAGCCUGUGAAGGUGUGUCGUGAGGCAUGCUGGAGGUAUCAGAAGUGCGAAUGCUGACAUAAGUAACGAUAAAGCGGGUGAAAAGCCCGCUCGCCGGAAGACCAAGGGUUCCUGUCCAACGUUAAUCGGGGCAGGGUGAGUCGACCCCUAAGGCGAGGCCGAAAGGCGUAGUCGAUGGGAAACGGGUUAAUAUUCCCGUACUUGGUGUUACUGCGAAGGGGGGACGGAGAAGGCUAUGUUGGCCGGGCGACGGUUGUCCCGGUUUAAGCGUGUAGGUGUGU